GCAACUGUAAUCACUGAAUUUUGUUCGGUUUAAAUUUCAUUUUUUUUAAAUUACGGGUUUGGGCUUGUACGAGCCCAAUGACUGGGCCCAAUGAUCGGGCCCAUUGUGUUUGGAUAAUUGGGCUUGUUUGGGCUUUAGCCAUUAGUGUAUUGUUUUUAUUUUUAUAUUUUAUUAAUUUUAAAUAAUAAUAAUAUCAAAAUCAGAAAAAAAAUACAAAAUUUAAAAUUAUAUUUUGACCCCUUAACUUUUCUAAAAUUACAUUUUAACCCAUAAAUUUUCCUAAAAUUAUAUUUUGCCCCCUUAAUUUUCAUAAAAUUACAUUUUGGCCCCAGAAGUUUUUCAUCAUUUACAAUCUAGUCCUUCUAGCACAAGGGCGCGAUUUGCACACCUGCCCUCCACGAUUUUCGACAGCCAGUGUGGGUGGUGGCCCCCCUCCUCAACUGCUACCUACAAGGACAGAAAAUCAGCAAUAAAACACCAAGAAGCAACCAAAAAACAGGAGCCGAUCAACAAAAAAGCAAACAAAAUCAAAGAAAAAGCAAUAAAAAUAGCAGCAAGAAAAAUAUGCCACCCCACACCGCCGUGCCCACCGCCGCCCUUUACCACACAACCGUCGCACCACCAUCGCCAAACACAAGCAAACCAAAGGAAAAAAACUCAAAAGAGUGCAAGAAAAAAAUCAAAAAAAAUAGCACGACCGUGCCCACCGCCACCGCCGCUGCACCACCAAGAGGAAGAAUCAACAGCAAAAAAAUGGCCUAGGGUUUGAAAAGAAGAGGAAAAAGGAAAGAAAGGAAGAAGAUAAAAGAAAAAAAAGGAAAAAGGAAAAGAAAAAAAGGAAAAAAAUAAAAAAAAUAAAGAACAGUCGGGUCGACCCAACCCACAAUCCGUUCCAGCCCAGCGCCCAACCCAGCAUCCAAUAGGCCCACAGCCGACCCAGUAGUAUGCCCAACGCACAGCAAACAACAGGCCCAUUUUUAGUAAGUCCAGAUCCGGCCAAAAAAAUAAAAUAAAAGGCAGCAGGCCUAACCCAACAGAAGCC
This 1042-nucleotide long non-coding RNA is filed under the name Gossypium raimondii (Peruvian cotton). RNAcentral describes it as "long non-coding RNA (GRAI_LNC001104)". The record is from RNAcentral. Lineage: Eukaryota; Viridiplantae; Streptophyta; Magnoliopsida; Malvales; Malvaceae.